Molecule: long non-coding RNA, 535 nt
Organism: Saccostrea cuccullata (small rock oyster)
Lineage: Eukaryota; Metazoa; Mollusca; Bivalvia; Ostreida; Ostreidae
Exons: 3
Source: RefSeq, a predicted model, not a curated record
GGGAAAUUUGAAUGAUUUAACAUACUUAAUUUACUUCCAUGCAAUAGAUAGACAAUGUAGGCCCCAAAUUAUCGUACAUGUGUUCCAUGCUGUAUGUUGUACAAUGACGACUUUUCGCCUUUUAAUAGAAUGAAUGCUCAAUAUAAUAGUUCUCGCUCUGUGUAAAAAUGAGUUCUUUCAAAGCGGAAUUUCUUUUCUUUUUUUUUAUUUUUAGCCCCUCUAUUUAUUCGGUUGAUAAUAUCUAUACCGAGCACGGUUUCGAAGUUAAAUACAUACUAAAGUACAUCCGGUUCGAAUUCAUGUGUUCUCGCAUAGCUAACUGUUUUGAUUUUUUGGAACUUAUGACAAGAGGCAUUCAUCAAUGUCAUUACUAAUGACAAACAGGAGAAACGGAGACAGGAGAUGGAAACACUGAUCUUCACAGAUUGCAGUCAAAACAAAGCAAAAGAAAGCAUUCAAAACUGGAAAUAAGAUAGAAAGCCGUGGAACAUCUAGACGAGUCAUGGACCCCAACAUCUAAAAAAGAACUUGACGG